RNAcentral lists this small nuclear RNA (106 nucleotides) under Sciurus vulgaris (Eurasian red squirrel). The record is from RNAcentral. Lineage: Eukaryota; Metazoa; Chordata; Mammalia; Rodentia; Sciuridae.
GUGCUCACUUUGGCAGCACAUGUACAAAAUUGGAAUGAUACAGAGAAGAUUGGCAUGGCCCCUGCGCAAGGAUGACACACUGAUUCAUGAAGCAUUCCACAUUUUU